This 371-nucleotide ribosomal RNA is filed under the name uncultured organism. RNAcentral describes it as "partial 16S ribosomal RNA". It matches the Rfam family "Bacterial small subunit ribosomal RNA", at positions 527 to 896 of the family's 1533-position model. The record is from RNAcentral.
GUAGGUGGCAAGCGUUGUCCGGAAUUAUUGGGCGUAAAGCGCGCGCAGGCGGUUCUUUAAGUCUGAUGUGAAAGCCCACGGCUCAACCGUGGAGGGUCAUUGGAAACUGGAGAACUUGAGUACAGAAGAGGAAAGCGGAAUUCCACGUGUAGCGGUGAAACGCGUAGAGAUGUGGAGGAACACCAGUGGCGAAGGCGGCUUUCUGGUCUGUAACUGACGCUGAGGCGCGAAAGCGUGGGGAGCAAACAGGGAUUAGAUACCCUGGUAGUCCACGCCGUAACGAUGAGUGCUAAGUGUUAGGGGGUUUCCGCCCCCUUAGUGCUGCAGCUAACGCAUUAAGCACUCCGCCUGGGGAUACGGCCGCAAGGCUG